Small nuclear RNA from Lycium ferocissimum, 99 nucleotides. NCBI's taxonomy places the organism in Eukaryota, Viridiplantae, Streptophyta, Magnoliopsida, Solanales, Solanaceae. The record is from RefSeq and is a predicted model, not a curated record.
GUCUUUUUGCGCACAUCUGAUAAAUUGGAACGAUACAGGGAAGAUUAUGAUUCUUGCCCAAGGAUGACACGAACAAUCAAAGAAAUGUCCACAUUUUGU